AGAAAAACCGUGCAGCCGCACGUACGAGCGACGAGUCUUUACUCCUAAUGGAGCAGCAGAUCGGUCUCCGCCGCCAACCAGACCUUCGCACGCCCGAUCCAGCCCUACGCCCCCUCCGCGGCCGAUCCAUCCCUAUGUCGCGGCCGAUCCAUGCCCUAUGCCGCCGCCGAUGCCUCCUCCUCCACCUCCAUUUCCAAGCGACGGCGCUCGCGGCCGUGGUCUUCUCCCCCAGCCACCAUGGCUGCAGAUCCACUCACGGCCGGUUGUCUAAGCUGCAAGCAUGGAUGGAUGGAUCCAGGAAGGUAUCCUUCCUCCCUGGGUGGGGCGAGCUACACAUCCCAUUCGGCCCUCUGUAGCCGGCCAUCUCCGCCUCCUCCUCGCCGUUGCCGCUGCCGGGGAUCGCGUCUUCACCAAGCGCGAGCUCCGCCCCAUCCGACCGACCGCAAAGGGGUUGUCCAUUGUAAAUUUUCAAGGAGAUUCAAAUGUUCCUCUUCUGGAUGAUUGAAGGGUUACUUGAAGCUAGGGCAAUCCAAGUAAGAUAGCUUCAUCCUCAGGCAACAGGUUUAUGUUAUCUUAUCAUGGAGUCAUUUUUAAGUUUGUGCCCAACGCCUUCAUCCUUAGAAUGGCUGCCCAGAUGGCAAGCCACCGUACUUAGGCAACUGCCGCGCUAGCAGGGUGCUCCAACUUUUGAUGCUGGCGAAGCUUUUGGAAUGAUGGCUACAUAAUUUGUUAGUCUCCGUUGGAAGCUUAAUUAAACUGAGAUGUGUGGCAAAGGAUUUCAAUUUUCCUAUUUACACAAAGGAAACUUGAGGAAGGUUCAGAUUUCUCAUGCUCGGUGUUGUGCUCUCAAGGUUACAUAGACAAGAAUGCCUCCUAUUUACACAACGGCAACCCGACGAAGGAUGACGGGGCGGGUCGGGAGGCGGGGAAAGCCGUCCAUGGCGAUCCUGGUGGCGUUGCUAAUGGCGUUAGUGGCACUGCCGCUCCUCAUGGUGCCCGACACGCUCUCUAUGCCAGGCUCCAACGGCGUGGAUCGCGGCGCCGCCCUGUCGCUCCCACGCCCGUGCUUCAGCAGAUCCGUGUUUGAGUUGUGCAUACCUUUAGCCGCCUCCCCUCCAAUGUCCACGACUCUGAUAUACCGUGUUUGUUAGUCUUGACUGGUGUUUGUUCUCCGUAUUGUUGUGCAGGAGGCUGGAGAACAUCAGGGAGAAAAGGGAGUCGUGGAUGGAGGUUCUGUACUUCUGUUGUAUCAACAUCUUCUCCAUGAGUCUUUUGCCCCCACUCUGUUUUUGUUUUGGGCCGAAACGUCAUCGUCUUGAUUCUUUACGUGGUUCAUUGGCUCAGACUUGUCCUACAUGGCCGAGCGAGAUCGAGGCUAGCCGCCGGUAAUGUUCUUCUCCCGUGCAAGUUCCGCACUGCAUUGAAGCAUCCAACACAUGAUGUAGCUACGUUACAGGUGGGAUAUCAGCCAAGUAUGUUUCGAGGUGAGACAUCCAUCAAGUUUGUUUGGAGGUGAGACAUCCAGCAAGUUUGUUUGAAGCCUUUGCAGACCUUCUCACAGAUGUUUGUUCAUAUAUAAAAUUGACUAUUCCAAAUAGUACACUGAUAAUUUUGCCGAACGAAUCUUAUUUGAAGCAAAUAAGGGCCUUAGAAGAAAAUAAAAAAAAAUUGUGCAGUCCAGCUCCUGCGUGCUGGUCACCGAGCUCCACUGUGUCCAGCUCAUCCGACCAUGUGCUCCACUGCAUCUAGGUCAACCGAUCUUGUGGCAGAGCUACACUGACGCAAGAGCAAAUAGUUUUACAAUUUCUUUGUUGUUCCUUUGUACUGGAUAACUGUGCAUUUUUAGAGGUGUGAAGAUGUAAUGCAAUAACAGUAACUGGACGUAGGCACAUCCGUCUCGAUAAGCAUUAUGGGAACGGACAAAGGCAAGGCAUUCCAAUGUAAGAAAUGGAUGAAGGCAAGGUAUGUCAUUCUAAAAAAAGGCAAGGCAUACCAGGAUGCUGCAUUGCUUAA
Long non-coding RNA from Triticum aestivum (bread wheat), 2013 nucleotides. RefSeq lists it as uncharacterized. The transcript is spliced from 8 exons. The record is from RefSeq and is a predicted model, not a curated record. Lineage: Eukaryota; Viridiplantae; Streptophyta; Magnoliopsida; Poales; Poaceae.